GCGGCGGUGGCGCAGUCGGCGACGCAGCAGGUUUAGGUCCUGUGGCCCCCAGGGGCUUGAGGGUUCGAAUCCCUUCCGCCGCA
Molecule: transfer RNA, 83 nt
Filed under: Streptomyces albus
Lineage: Bacteria; Bacillati; Actinomycetota; Actinomycetes; Kitasatosporales; Streptomycetaceae
Also listed under: 2 other names
Description: tRNA-Leu (TAG) (tRNA-Leu-TAG-1-1)
Rfam family: tRNA
About the family: Transfer RNA (tRNA) molecules are approximately 80 nucleotides in length.
Source: RNAcentral